GCCCAGGUGGCGAAAUUGGUAGACGCGCUAGCUUGAGGGGCUAGUGGGAGCUUAAUCCCGUGGAAGUUCGAGUCUUCUCCUGGGCACCA
This 89-nucleotide transfer RNA is filed under the name Candidatus Peregrinibacteria bacterium CG10_big_fil_rev_8_21_14_0_10_55_24. RNAcentral describes it as "tRNA-Leu". It matches the Rfam family "tRNA". Rfam says of the family: Transfer RNA (tRNA) molecules are approximately 80 nucleotides in length. Their secondary structure includes four short double-helical elements and three loops (D, anti-codon, and T loops). Lineage: Bacteria; Candidatus Peregrinibacteriota. The record is from RNAcentral.